RNAcentral lists this ribosomal RNA (772 nucleotides) under uncultured delta proteobacterium. RNAcentral's name for it is "bacterial SSU rRNA". It matches the Rfam family "Bacterial small subunit ribosomal RNA", at positions 61 to 808 of the family's 1533-position model. The record is from RNAcentral. Lineage: Bacteria; Deltaproteobacteria.
GUCGACGAGAAAGGGGUUUCCGACCCUGAUUAAAGUGGUGCACGGGUGAGUAACGCGUAGAUACCCGGCCAGGUGUUCGGGGAUAGCCUUUCGAAAGGGGGGUUAAUCCCGGAUACGUUAGUCUGUUAUAAGCCAGAUUAACAAAAGGGGGCCUCUAUUCAUAUGCUAUUGGCAUUUGGAGGGUGUGUGGGUACCAUUAGUUUUUGUUGGGGUAAUGGCCUACCAAGACCUUCGACGGUUAGCGGUUCUGGGAGGAUGAUCCGUCUCACUGGGCACUGAAACUCGGCCCAGACUCUUCUGGAGGCAGCAGUGGGGACUAUUUGAGCAUUGGGGGAAACCCGGACGCACCGCCGCCGCGUGGCGAGGAGGGCUUUCGGGGUCGUAAUGUCCUGUCAGAAGGGAAGAAAUGCAUGCAGCUUAAUUUCUUGUAUGUUUGACGGUACCUUCAAAGGAAGCACCGGCUAACUCCGUGCCAGCAGCCGCGGUAAUACGGAGGGUGCAAACGUUGUUCGUAAUCACUGGGCGUAAAGGGCGGCAGGCGGUUUGAUUAGUCAGAUGUGAAAGCCCACGGCUUACCCGUGGAAGUGCAUUUGAAACUGUCAGACUUGAGUACCAGAGGGGGUGGUGGAAUUCCCGCCGUAGAGGUGAAAUUCGUAGAUAUCGGGAGGAAUACCGGUGGCGAAGGCGACUACCUGGCUGGAUACUGACGUUGAGGCGCGAAAGCGUGGGGAGCAAACAGGAUUAGAUACCCUGGUAGUCCCCGCCGUAAACG